This 561-nucleotide ribosomal RNA is filed under the name uncultured bacterium. Its description in RNAcentral is "partial 16S ribosomal RNA". It matches the Rfam family "Bacterial small subunit ribosomal RNA", at positions 355 to 907 of the family's 1533-position model. The record is from RNAcentral.
UGGGGAAUAUUGGACAAUGGGCGCAAGCCUGAUCCAGCAAUGCCGCGUGUGUGAAGAAGGCCUUCGGGUUGUAAAGCACUUUUAUCAGGAGCGAAACGCUGUCGGCUAAUACCCGGCGGAACUGACGGUACCUGAGGAAUAAGCACCGGCUAACUUCGUGCCAGCAGCCGCGGUAAUACGAAGGGUGCAAGCGUUAAUCGGAAUUACUGGGCGUAAAGCGUGCGUAGGCGGUUUCUUAAGUCUGCUGUGAAAUCCCCGGGCUCAACCUGGGAAUGGCAGUGGAUACUGGGAGGCUAGAGUGUGUCAGAGGGUGGUGGAAUUCCCGGUGUAGCGGUGAAAUGCGUAGAGAUCGGGAGGAACAUCAGUGGCGAAGGCGGCCACCUGGGACAACACUGACGCUGAGGCACGAAAGCGUGGGGAGCAAACAGGAUUAGAUACCCUGGUAGUCCACGCCCUAAACGAUGCGAACUGGAUGUUGGUCUCAACUCGGAGAUCAGUGUCGAAGCUAACGCGUUAAGUUCGCCGCCUGGGGAGUACGGUCGCAAGACUGAAACUCAAAUG